GACGAACGCUGGCGGCGUGCUUAACACAUGCAAGUCGAACGCUGAAGCUCAGCUUUUGUUGGGUGGAUGAGUGGCGAACGGGUGAGUAGCACGUGAGUAACCUGCCUCCUUCUUUGGGAUAACGCCCGGAAACGGGUGCUAAUACUGGAUAUUCACUGGUCUUCGCAUGGGGGUUGGUGGAAAGGGUUUUUCUGGUGGGGGAUGGGCUCGCGGCCUAUCAGCUUGUUGGUGGGGUGAUGGCCUACCAAGGCUUUGACGGGUAGCCGGCCUGAGAGGGUGACCGGUCACAGUGGGAGUGAGAUACGGCCCAGACUCAGACGGGAGGCAGCAGUGGGGAAGAGGGCGCAAUGGGCGCAAGCCUGAUGCAGCGGCGCGGCGGGAGGGAUGGAGGCCUUCGGGUUGUGAACCUCCUUCGCUCAUGGUCAAGCCGCAACAAUGGUUGUGGUGAGGGUAGUGGGUAAAGAAGCGCCGGCUAACUACGUG
RNAcentral lists this ribosomal RNA (483 nucleotides) under uncultured bacterium. Its description in RNAcentral is "partial 16S ribosomal RNA". It matches the Rfam family "Bacterial small subunit ribosomal RNA", at positions 28 to 507 of the family's 1533-position model. The record is from RNAcentral.